This 1154-nucleotide long non-coding RNA is filed under the name Gouania willdenowi (blunt-snouted clingfish). RNAcentral's name for it is "lncRNA (ENSGWIG00000010331.1)". The record is from RNAcentral. Lineage: Eukaryota; Metazoa; Chordata; Actinopteri; Blenniiformes; Gobiesocidae.
AAACACAGAAUGAGAGAAAAUGUACAAGAUUCCUCCAAGAAUUAACAAAUCAACCACAAAAAUCACACCUGGCCUUUGUAUCAAUGUUCAGAUUGUCUUGUUUACAACCUCUGCUCAGUGACACACCAUCGUGCCCUACACUGAUCUAUAUGUGUGUGUGUGUGUGCAUGCUCUAAACUUAGCCCUGACACUACAGCUCCACAUCACAGCAUACUCGGUGGAUUACAAUGGACGGUGUCCACUUUCCACACGCACUGCUGUGUGUGUGAAGCUGAGAAAACAAGAUGUAAACUUAAAACGCCUGCAGGGUUUUCUGUCCGUCUCUCUCUGCAUUUGUGUCGUUUUUCCUGUCAUGAUGGGCAACUAUAGCUCAGCCCUUAUUCCUGACACUGAAGACUUUGUGUCAAUCACGUCAGUGGCUGAGAAGCUGAAUGACGGCGACAGUUUACAAUCAGAGCUUCAAACUCUGGUAACGCACUUUAUGGAAGAGGAAAGGAACAAAAAAACAACAGAGGAGAUGAAUUCUUCAGUGGUUCCAGGGAAUACUGAAGAAACCAGGGCAGCUCAAGCCAAAAGCGAGUCUUUCUCCUCCCUGCUGCCGAAGGCUCUUUCUGCUGCUUUACGGUCAGCGACGCCCCCCGGCCCCAGCACUGAGUGUCAAGGGAAACAACACAUUUCACCAAACAUGGAGCAACUGCAGACGGAGCUGAGAGACCUGAGGGAGCAGUUUGUACAAAUGAAGAGUCAACACAACAAAGAAAUCAAACUUCUGAUGAAUGAGCUCGACGAGGAGAAAAGGAUACGUUUAACUUUACAAAUGGAAAUUCAACGUAUGAAGAAGCACAUGUCUAAAUGAGCCAAGAUGUUUUUAUUUUGUAUCGGCCAGUUUUAUUCAAAUCUUUCAUUGGUUUGAUUCCUCUAAGAAGAUCAUAUCUGUAGGAAAGAAACGCUACAACAAAAUCAAUAUUUGCACUAAAUAUAUAGACUUUUGGAACGCAGGAUAAGGCUGUGAUUACUUUGUGAGGAACAAAUAUAGACGUAAUUUGAGAUGCAUAGAUUUUGUGGCAUUUUUGUUUGUAUUGCACUGUGCAAAAGUUGAUGUAUACAUUAUUUCUGUCAAUGAAUUCUGUGAAUAAAGUAAAUCUGACCACUCA